GAUGAACGCUGGCGGCGUGCUUAACACAUGCAAGUCGAACGAUGAUCUCCAGCUUGCUGGGGGGAUUAGUGGCGAACGGGUGAGUAACACGUGAGUAACCUGCCCUUAACUCUGGGAUAAGCCUGGGAAACUGGGUCUAAUACCGGAUAUGACUUGUCACCGCAUGGUGGUGGGUGGAAAGCUUUUGUUGGUUUUGGAUGGACUCGCGGCCUAUCAGCUUGUUGGGGGGUAAGUGGCCUACCAAGGCGACGACGGGUAGGCCGGCCUGAGAGGGUGGACCGGCCACACUGGGACUGAGACACGGCCCAGACUCCUACGGGAGGCAGCAGUGGGGAAUAUUGCACAAUGGGCGCAAGCCUGAUGCAGCGACGCCGCGUGAGGGAUGAAGGCCU
This 392-nucleotide ribosomal RNA is filed under the name uncultured bacterium. RNAcentral's name for it is "bacterial SSU rRNA". It matches the Rfam family "Bacterial small subunit ribosomal RNA", at positions 28 to 417 of the family's 1533-position model. The record is from RNAcentral.